UACGAAGGGUGCAAGCGUUAAUCGGAAUUACUGGGCGUAAAGCGCGCGUAGGUGGUUCAGCAAGUUGGAUGUGAAAGCCCCGGGCUCAACCUGGGAACUGCAUCCAAAACUACUGGGCUAGAGUAUGGUAGAGGGUGGUGGAAUUUCCUGUGUAGCGGUGAAAUGCGUAGAUAUAGGAAGGAACACCAGUGGCGAAGGCGACCACCUGGACUAAUACUGACACUGAGGUGCGAAAGCGUGGGGAGCAAACAGG
This 253-nucleotide ribosomal RNA is filed under the name uncultured bacterium. RNAcentral describes it as "partial 16S ribosomal RNA". It matches the Rfam family "Bacterial small subunit ribosomal RNA", at positions 524 to 776 of the family's 1533-position model. The record is from RNAcentral.